This 244-nucleotide ribosomal RNA is filed under the name uncultured Levilinea sp. Its description in RNAcentral is "partial 16S ribosomal RNA". It matches the Rfam family "Bacterial small subunit ribosomal RNA", at positions 1141 to 1382 of the family's 1533-position model. The record is from RNAcentral. Lineage: Bacteria; Bacillati; Chloroflexota; Anaerolineae; Anaerolineales; Anaerolineaceae.
ACAACGGACUGGCCGCAUAAAACCGGAGGAAGGUGGGGAUGACGUCAAGUCAGCAUGGCCUUUAUAUCCUGGGCUACACACACGCUACAAUGGGAAGGGACAAUAGGUUGCGAAGCCGCGAGGCGGAGCCAAUCCAGCAAAACUUCCCUCAGUUCAGAUUGCAGGCUGCAACUCGCCUGCAUGAAGUUGGAGUUGCUAGUAAACGCAGGUCAGCCAUACUGCGUUGAAUACGUUCCCGGGGCUU